Non-coding RNA from Pelobates cultripes (western spadefoot toad), 372 nucleotides. The record is from the annotation of a GenBank genome assembly. NCBI's taxonomy places the organism in Eukaryota, Metazoa, Chordata, Amphibia, Anura, Pelobatidae.
CUAAAAAAACUAAUACAUGGGUUUUGGUCCAGGGGGUAGGCCCCUGGGCCACUGCCUCAAUCUUAGUGGGCUCAGGCUUCUGCUGCCAGUAUCCCACUCAGUGACCGAGAUACUGUACCUCGGCCAUCCCUAUAUGACACUUGCUGGGUUUAAGGGUUUAGCCUGCUUCCUUGAUCCUACCUAGGACUGCUCCUAUAUGGGCCAAGUGCUCCUGCCAUGAAAUACUAUGGGAAAGACUUUGGCUCCAUGGCAAUUGAACUAUAUGUGUGUGAUCUGAGCGCCAUUCAGUAAUAAUGUGUGCUCAGAUCUGAGCUAUCUGGAGAUAUGUGUUCAAUGGAGUUUUGCCUCUGUCCUUUGAGAUAAUUGGAUUAC